UACGUUGAUUUCCCGCUGAACUUAAGCAUAUCACUAAGCGGAGGAAAAGAAACUAACCAGGAUUCCCUUAGUAACGGCGAGUGAACAGGGAAAAGCCCAGCACCGAAGCCUGUGGUCAUUUGGCCCCUAGGCAAUGUGGUGUUCAGGUUAGCUCGCGAAGAUGCUGCUCCACCCUAAGUCCUAUAAUGAGUAAGGUUACUCGGACAUGGCCCAAUGAGGGUGAAAGGCCCGUGGGGGUGGAGAUUCAGAAUGGCCAGUAUCUUCCUGAGCAGACCUUGGAGUCGGGUUGUUUGUGAAUGCAGCCCAAAGCGGGUGGUAAACUCCAUCCAAGGCUAAAUACUAGCACGAGUCCGAUAGCGAACAAGUACCGUGAGGGAAAGUUGAAAAGUACUUUGAAGAGAGAGUAAACAGUGCGUGAAACCGUUCAGAGGUAAACAGGUGGAGUUGAACUGCAAGCUCUGAGGAUUCAGCUGGUGAGUAUGGCAUGAGCUUGGUCAUAUUGGUUGUGUGCUCGGGUCUGCUUAGCUGCAGGUCCCCGCUUCGGUGGGGAUGCGCGAAUCACUCAUCAGGUGUGUGCGCCCGUACACAGGCAC
Molecule: ribosomal RNA, 593 nt
Filed under: Fasciola hepatica (liver fluke)
Lineage: Eukaryota; Metazoa; Platyhelminthes; Trematoda; Plagiorchiida; Fasciolidae
Description: eukaryotic LSU rRNA
Rfam family: Eukaryotic large subunit ribosomal RNA
Source: RNAcentral